Molecule: ribosomal RNA, 501 nt
Filed under: uncultured bacterium
Lineage: Bacteria
Description: partial 16S ribosomal RNA
Rfam family: Bacterial small subunit ribosomal RNA
Source: RNAcentral
AUUGAACGCUGGCGGCAUGCCUUACACAUGCAAGUCGAACGGCGGCACGGGUGCUUGCACCUGGUGGCGAGUGGCGAACGGGUGAGUAAUACAUCGGAACGUACCUUAUCGUGGGGGAUAACGCAGCGAAAGCUGUGCUAAUACCGCAUACGCCCUGAGGGGGAAAGCGGGGGAUCGCAAGACCUCGCGCGAUUAGAGCGGCCGAUGCCUGAUUAGCUUGUUGGUGGGGUAAAAGCCCACCAAGGCGACGAUCAGUAGCUGGUCUGAGAGGACGAUCAGCCACACUGGGACUGAGACACGGACCAGACGCCUACGGGAGGCAGCAGUGGGGAAUUUUGGACAAUGGGGGCAACCCUGAUCCAGCAAUGCCGCGUGAGUGAAGAAGGCCUUCGGGUUGUAAAGCUCUUUUGUCAGGGAAGAAACACCGGCUCUAACACAGUCCGGGAAUGACGGUACCUGAAGAAUAAGCACCGGCUAACUACGUGCCAGCCGCCGCCGUAA